This 1452-nucleotide ribosomal RNA is filed under the name metagenome. Its description in RNAcentral is "bacterial SSU rRNA". It matches the Rfam family "Bacterial small subunit ribosomal RNA". The record is from RNAcentral.
UUUACACAUGCAAGUCGAACGGUAACGCGGGGGCAACCCUGGCGACGAGUGGCGAACGGGUGAGUAAUACAUCGGAACAUAUCCAGUAGCGGGGGAUAACCUAUCGAGAGAUGGACUAAUACCGCAUACGAUCUACGGAUGAAAGCAGGGGACCGCAAGGCCUUGCACUAUUGGAGUGGCCGAUGUCGGAUUAGCUAGUUGGUGGGGUAAAGGCUUACCAAGGCGACGAUCCGUAGCUGGUCUGAGAGGACGAUCAGCCACACUGGAACUGAGACACGGUCCAGACUCCUACGGGAGGCAGCAGUGGGGAAUUUUGGACAAUGGGCGCAAGCCUGAUCCAGCCAUGCCGCGUGAGUGAAGAAGGCCUUCGGGUUGUAAAGCUCUUUCGGUGAAGACGAAACGGUUAGCGCUAAUAACGCUGACUAAUGACGGUACUCACAGAAGAAGCACCGGCUAACUACGUGCCAGCAGCCGCGGUAAUACGUAGGGUGCAGGCGUUAAUCGGAAUUACUGGGCGUAAAGCGUGCGCAGGCGGUUUGCUAAGACAGGUGUGAAAUCCCCGGGCUUAACCUGGGAAUUGCGCUUGUAACUGGCAAGCUAGAGUGUGGCAGAGGGGGGUGGAAUUCCACGUGUAGCAGUGAAAUGCGUAGAUAUGUGGAGGAACACCGAUGGCGAAGGCAGCCCCCUGGGUUAACACUGACGCUCAUGCACGAAAGCGUGGGGAGCAAACAGGAUUAGAUACCCUGGUAGUCCACGCCCUAAACUAUGUCAACUAAUUGUCGGGGAAGAAAUUCCUUGGUAACGAAGCUAACGCGUGAAGUUGACCGCCUGGGGAGUACGGCCGCAAGGUUAAAACUCAAAGGAAUUGACGGGGACCCGCACAAGCGGUGGAUUAUGUGGAUUAAUUCGAUACAACGCGAAAAACCUUACCUACCCUUGACAUGCUAGGAAGCCCGCAGAGAUGUGGGUGUGCCCGAAAGGGAACCUAGACACAGGUGCUGCAUGGCUUCGUCAGCUCGUGUCGUGAGAUGUUGGGUUAAGUCCCGCAACGAGCGCAACCCUUGCCAUUAGUUGCUACAUUCAGUUGGGCACUCUAAUGGGACCGCCGGUGACAAACCGGAGGAAGGUGGGGAUGACGUCAAGUCCUCAUGGCCCUUAUGGGUAGGGCUUCACACGUAAUACAAUGGUCGGUACAGAGGGCUGCCAACCCGCAAGGGGGAGCUAAUCCCAGAAAGCCGAUCGUAGUCCGGAUUGUAGUCUGCAACUCGACUGCAUGAACCCGGAAUCGCUAGUAAUCGCGGAUCAGCAUGUCGCGGUGAAUACGUUCCCGGGUCUUGUACACACCGCCCGUCACACCAUGGGAGUGGGUUCCACCAGAAGUAGUUAGCCUAACCGCAAGGAGGGCGAUUACCACGGUGAGAUUCAUGACUGGGGUGAAGUCGGAACAAGGUA